CGAUGGCCUUCAUUACUUACGUGCUCCUGGCUGGGAUGGCACUGGGCAUUCAGAAAAGGUUCUCCCCGGAGGUGCUGGGCCUGUGUGCAAGCACAGCGCUGGUGUGGGUGGUGAUGGAGGUGCUGGCCCUGCUCCUGGGCCUCUACCUGGCCACCGUGCGCAGUGACCUGAGCACCUUUCACCUGCUGGCCUACAGUGGCUACAAAUACGUGGGAAUGAUCCUCAGUGUGCUCACGGGGCUGCUGUUCGGCAGCGAUGGCUACUACGUGGCGCUGGCCUGGACCUCAUCGGCGCUCAUGUACUUCAUUGUGAGUGCGCUCUUUGCGGACAGCAGCCCUGGGCCCCGACAGCAUGGGGGGCCCCGUCCCCCGGCAGCGUCUCCAGCUCUACCUGACUCUGGGAGCUGCAGCCUUCCAGCCCCUCAUCAUAUACUGGCUGACUUUCCACCUGGUCCGGUGACCCCCUGGCCCCAGAUGGCACUGAGUUUUUCAUUCAUUGAAGAUUUGAUUUCCUUGA
Molecule: small RNA, 516 nt
Filed under: Pan troglodytes (chimpanzee)
Lineage: Eukaryota; Metazoa; Chordata; Mammalia; Primates; Hominidae
Also listed under: 1 other name
Description: processed transcript
Source: RNAcentral